AUUGGUGAUUCCCGACCACCUCUAGUGA
Molecule: transfer RNA, 28 nt
Filed under: Tor putitora (golden mahseer)
Lineage: Eukaryota; Metazoa; Chordata; Actinopteri; Cypriniformes; Cyprinidae
Description: partial tRNA-Lys
Source: RNAcentral